UCUUAAAUGUACUCAUUUUAAGUAAAAUCUGCUCAAUGAUCAUAAAUAGCCGCAGAAAUUUUACUGUGCUAAGGUAGCAUAAUCAUUAGUCUCUUAAUUAGCGACUAGUAUGAACGAUUUUACAUUUAUACUCUUUUCUAAUCUUCUUAAUUUAACCUUUACUAAACAUAAAAUAUGUUUAUAUAUUAAAUAGACGACAAGACCCUGUUGAACUUAACUUAAGUUUUACUGGGGCAGUAAAUUAAAAAUAAUUUUAAUUUUAUUACUUAAAUAAAUGAACCAUUAACAUUGAUUGCAUGAACAAGUUACCACAGGGAUAACAGCGUAAUAUUCUUUUAAAUUCUUAUAAAAAAGAAAGAUUACGACCUCGAUGUUGAAUUAUUUAUCUUAUAGGCGCAAGAGUUUCAUAAGAUGGUCUGUUCGACCAUUAAAUUUUUACA
RNAcentral lists this ribosomal RNA (440 nucleotides) under Ero sp. GH1001. RNAcentral describes it as "partial 16S ribosomal RNA". It matches the Rfam family "Bacterial large subunit ribosomal RNA", at positions 1832 to 2600 of the family's 2925-position model. The record is from RNAcentral. Lineage: Eukaryota; Metazoa; Arthropoda; Arachnida; Araneae; Mimetidae.